GGACUCGUAGCUCAGUUGGUUAGAGCGUUGCAUUGACAUUGCAGAGGUCACAGGUUCGAGCCCUGUCGGGUCCA
RNAcentral lists this transfer RNA (74 nucleotides) under Candidatus Woesebacteria bacterium. Its description in RNAcentral is "tRNA-Val". It matches the Rfam family "tRNA". Rfam says of the family: Transfer RNA (tRNA) molecules are approximately 80 nucleotides in length. Their secondary structure includes four short double-helical elements and three loops (D, anti-codon, and T loops). Further hydrogen bonds mediate the characteristic L-shaped molecular structure. tRNAs have two regions of fundamental functional importance: the anti-codon, which is responsible for specific mRNA codon recognition, and the 3' end, to which the tRNAs corresponding amino acid is attached (by aminoacyl-tRNA synthetases). tRNAs cope with the degeneracy of the genetic code in two manners: having more than one tRNA (with a specific anti-codon) for a particular amino acid; and 'wobble' base-pairing, i.e. permitting non-standard base-pairing at the 3rd anti-codon position. RNAcentral also lists the same sequence under 2 other names. The record is from RNAcentral. Lineage: Bacteria; Candidatus Woeseibacteriota.